GAGUGUUACAGUUCUUUUGGAAUUUGUCUAGCAGGUUUUCCAGUUCACAUUGGAAAGCAAAA
This is a small nuclear RNA of Bison bison bison, 62 nucleotides long. Its record names the gene U7. It matches the Rfam family "U7 small nuclear RNA". From Rfam's summary of the family: Animal histone pre-mRNAs are spliced by a different mechanism than nuclear pre-mRNAs and self-splicing introns. This processing involves the U7 snRNP, which contains only one RNA species: U7. The 5' end of U7 RNA is thought to base-pair to a conserved spacer element downstream of the cleavage site in histone pre-mRNA. The record is from Ensembl. Lineage: Eukaryota; Metazoa; Chordata; Mammalia; Artiodactyla; Bovidae.